UGGGGAAUUUUGGACAAUGGGCGAAAGCCUGAUCCAGCAAUGCCGCGUGUGUGAAGAAGGCCUUCGGGUUGUAAAGCACUUUUGUCCGGAAAGAAAUCCUUGGCUCUAAUACAGUCGGGGGAUGACGGUACCGGAAGAAUAAGCACCGGCUAACUACGUGCCAGCAGCCGCGGUAAUACGUAGGGUGCAAGCGUUAAUCGGAAUUACUGGGCGUAAAGCGUGCGCAGGCGGUUUGCUAAGACCGAUGUGAAAUCCCCGGGCUCAACCUGGGAACUGCAUUGGUGACUGGCAGGCUAGAGUAUGGCAGAGGGGGGUAGAAUUCCACGUGUAGCAGUGAAAUGCGUAGAGAUGUGGAGGAAUACCGAUGGCGAAGGCAGCCCCCUGGGCCAAUACUGACGCUCAUGCACGAAAAGCGUGGGGGAGCAAAACAGGAUUAGAUACCCCUGGUAGUCCCACGCCCCUAAAACGAUGUCAACUAGUUGUUGGGGAUUCAUUUCCUUAGUAACGUAGCUAACGCGUGAAGUUGACCGCCU
This 533-nucleotide ribosomal RNA is filed under the name uncultured bacterium. Its description in RNAcentral is "partial 16S ribosomal RNA". It matches the Rfam family "Bacterial small subunit ribosomal RNA", at positions 355 to 874 of the family's 1533-position model. The record is from RNAcentral.